This is a long non-coding RNA of Daucus carota subsp. sativus, 905 nucleotides long. RefSeq lists it as uncharacterized. The record is from RefSeq and is a predicted model, not a curated record. The transcript has 4 exons. NCBI's taxonomy places the organism in Eukaryota, Viridiplantae, Streptophyta, Magnoliopsida, Apiales, Apiaceae.
AUUAUUUUCUUCUGGUUUUUCAAAAAAUACAGGAGAAGUUGAAGUCCCAAAAUUUGAUGAAUGUUAAAUGCUCUGUUGACAAGAAGUUCAAUUUUCCCGGCUAAAAUCCUAAAUAUUUUGGUUGAGCGGGAAAGCAGUAGAUAAGGCUAAUUGCAGUUUUCUUCUCCGUAGAUGUAGUUGCAAGAGUUGUACUUGUACUUCUCUUUGGCCAUUUUCUUUGUGGUCUACUCAUUAAUGGUCUAUAUCUUUUAGUCUUCUUCUGCCUUUCGUCUUCACGUUGACAAACACUUCUUUUAUUCUGGGUUCUCUAUAGAUUAUGUAUAUGUAUUUGCUUGUUAUAUGUUUUGGCAAUCUUGUAUUUGUUGGUUUAGAUUCUAUGCUUCAAUCAUAGAUCUUUCUGAUAAAUUCAAAUUCUUGAAAGUAAUAGACUUGGUGGUGAGAAGUUCACCGUAAAGGGUUGAUUAUAGAACCCAAUGGAAACCAUCCUUGGACAUUGAGAAGUGAAGAUGAAGUUGACUUCUCAUAAGGGAAAGCAACUAGAAGUGGUGUGCAAUUUUGGAAGCCUAUAAUUUAAAGGAAUUGUGAUUGACUUUAAUGAUAAUACCACUGAAGUUGAUAUAACAGGAAAGUGCAUUUUUGUUAUAGUACUUCAUUGACAUUGCUGGCCGGAGGCAGGAGUAUUGGGAUGGCUAUCACAAAUAUGAAUUACAAAGUCUCCAAAAAUCAGUGUCACAUGCAAUGCUUUGAUGGGGCUAUAUUCAGAUAUUCUUGUUGAUUUAAAAUAUUUAUGUAUUUUAAUUUUUCUUUAGACUUCCUUUUAUAUGUACACUUUUAAUGUACCAUUUUUGUUUAAACUCAUUGUAGUUUUACGGUUUGCUUUGUAAGAAUUGAAUGAUAAAAUUAUA